AUUUAUAUAGUAUAAAAGUAUAUAUGACUUCCAAUCAUAAGGUUUAUUACAUUAAUAAUAUAAAUA
RNAcentral lists this transfer RNA (66 nucleotides) under Betasyrphus serarius. Its description in RNAcentral is "tRNA-Gly". It matches the Rfam family "tRNA". Rfam says of the family: Transfer RNA (tRNA) molecules are approximately 80 nucleotides in length. The record is from RNAcentral. Lineage: Eukaryota; Metazoa; Arthropoda; Insecta; Diptera; Syrphidae.